Molecule: non-coding RNA, 117 nt
Organism: Chlorobium phaeobacteroides DSM 266
Lineage: Bacteria; Pseudomonadati; Chlorobiota; Chlorobiia; Chlorobiales; Chlorobiaceae
Source: Rfam
GAGGGUCGGCCCCUCGCAAUCGGCUUGCAGGAGCAGGUUGCAAACCACCGUAAGCGGCUUGGGUCAAAAGCCCCGGUCGUGAGCGUUACGGAAAAGGCGCCAUUUAAGGUGUCAGGU